AAAUUUCUUGAGCAUGUAGAAUGUGCAUCCAUGGCCAGCGUGACUCUGUGUUGUCGUUGGUUGAGUCGUGCAUGUACAUGUGGAAUUCAAGUUUCCACAAUUCCUAUGACAAUUCAUCAUACUUACCUGCUUUUACUGUUUCUAAUACAAAACAAAAGCUGUUGAAUGAGAUAGUCUUCUUAAAGGGAAGUAUUGAGGACAAUAGCUACACAUUCUUCUUAAUCUACCAAUCUAAUGCUUCUCUGUGAGAAGUAUUCU
Molecule: non-coding RNA, 258 nt
Organism: Pelobates cultripes (western spadefoot toad)
Lineage: Eukaryota; Metazoa; Chordata; Amphibia; Anura; Pelobatidae
Source: the annotation of a GenBank genome assembly